GACGAACGCUGGCGGCGUGCCUAAUACAUGCAAGUCGAACGCAUUUUCUUUCACCGUAGCUUGCUACACCGAAAGAAAAUGAGUGGCGAACGGGUGAGUAACACGUGGGUAACCUGCCCAUCAGCGGGGGAUAACACUUGGAAACAGGUGCUAAUACCGCAUAAUUCCAUUUCCCGCAUGGUAAAUGGAUGAAAGGCGCUUUUGCGUCACUGAUGGAUGGACCCGCGGUGCAUUAGCUAGUUGGUGGGGUAACGGCCUACCAAGGCUGCGAUGCAUAGCCGACCUGAGAGGGGGAUAGGCCACACUGGGACUGAGACACGGCCCAGACUCCUACGGGAGGCAGCAGUAGGGAAUCUUCGGCAAUGGACGCAAGUCUGACCGAGCAACGCCGCGUGAGUGAAGAAGGUGUUCGGAUCGUAAAACUCUGUUGUUAGAGAAGAACAAGGAUGAGAGUGGAAAGUUCAUCCCUUGACGGUAUCUAACCAGAAAGCCACGGCUAACUACGU
RNAcentral lists this ribosomal RNA (506 nucleotides) under uncultured bacterium. Its description in RNAcentral is "partial 16S ribosomal RNA". It matches the Rfam family "Bacterial small subunit ribosomal RNA", at positions 28 to 506 of the family's 1533-position model. The record is from RNAcentral.